Molecule: long non-coding RNA, 313 nt
Filed under: Pan troglodytes (chimpanzee)
Lineage: Eukaryota; Metazoa; Chordata; Mammalia; Primates; Hominidae
Description: long non-coding RNA NONPTRT011696
Source: RNAcentral
GCCGCCCUAGAGCCUUUCCCCUAUAACAGUGAAAUCAACAAUGACUGUGUCAGGAGAGAUCUUUAACUUAUUAUUUAUUACAAGAUAUUCUAAUGUUUAAAGAGCAAUCCAACAUAAAUGAAGAGAACAUAAGAAACAGCAUACACAAUACUGGACAUCACAGGACCCUCUCUGGCUGGAUACCAGGCUGUGGAACCACCAGAUGCUUCAGAUGAGAAAGGUUGGAUCUGUUUCACAGGGAAGGGGCUAAACUAUUUCAAGAAGCGACCACACGCUGGGCACUCUGAAAUCCAAAGCAAGUCUGGAUCUGGCC